GACUUGGGUGAGUUCAGUAGUCAGUAGAAACGCUAAGAGUAAAGAAACUAGGAAUACUUACACCGUAACAUAAAAGCUUAAUUCCAAAUAUCCCGUCUAUCGUUGUUGAUCGUCGAUUCACAAUAUUUGUCUACUCUCCUUCCUUUACUAACGGAAAAAACAGCUAAACUCAAAAUGAGGGUGCUAAAUAAGUGUUUUCCCACAUUUUCCUUCACCAACCAAAUGAAUGGCAUUCGAUAUCAUUCUUUUCUAUUCUGUCUGACGUGGUCUGUUUUGGGAUGUCUCCUCUUGAAUUUAAUCUCCUUGGGAGAAAGCUCUCCGACUCCGAGGGUGGGACUCAUAAUUUUUGGGACCACAAUAUCACCAGGAUUUAUUAGGAAAGAGGGAAAAUUUGCCUCUCAAUGCCCUGAAUCCCAUCCAACGGCAUUCGGUAAUGGGUCUUUUUGUUGCGAAAGCUAUCAUCGAUCGAACCAAUUUGAAACCAAUUUGGAAUGGGAGGAUCCUCUUGAUUUAUGUCAUCAUCAACAUUUUAUUAAGUGCCAAGAUUUUGCCUGUGUAACACAUGAGAACUAUAGAGCUACAAAGUCAUGUCCAACAGCGCACCCAAUUCAAAUGAAUAAUGGUUGCUGCAACCAAUACUUAAAUAGAUGCAAUGAUGAAACUAUUCAACCGACAGACGACCCAACAUGUUGCUUCAAAGACGAAGCAUUCUAUCCAGAGUCUUGUAGCAAAUUCAAGUUGAGAUGCCGAUCCCCAAACCCAAAGAGCGGUACGUAAUUUCUACCCUAAUAAUCGAAAGCACACGAAAAGUAC
Long non-coding RNA from Tigriopus californicus, 813 nucleotides. RefSeq lists it as uncharacterized. The record is from RefSeq and is a predicted model, not a curated record. Lineage: Eukaryota; Metazoa; Arthropoda; Copepoda; Harpacticoida; Harpacticidae. The transcript is spliced from 3 exons.